CGUCAGAUAGCUCAGUGGUCUAGAGCAGUCGCCCGGCAAGCGAAAGACCCGGGCUCGAUUCCCGGUCUAGCGA
Non-coding RNA from Harpegnathos saltator (Jerdon's jumping ant), 73 nucleotides. Lineage: Eukaryota; Metazoa; Arthropoda; Insecta; Hymenoptera; Formicidae. The record is from Rfam.